UUUGUAAAUAUUUUAUCUGGCUCCAUGGCUGACAAAAAUCCAUGAGCCUGUGUCAAGUAAUCUCAUAAGACUAGGGCACCUCCAGUUAGUAGACUUCAAUUAGUGCUAAGUGAAAGAUUCCUAAAAUAUAUGAUAUGCUCCAUCUAAUCAAUUGCUUUCAGUAGUUCAUUAAUCAACAUGAUAUGCCACUCCUCCUCUCUCCAGGAGAAAAGGAAAGACCAAAAUUGUUAAUAAAUGAAUACAUGCAUACAUGUACAUAAGAACAAAAUGGGUAGGAACCUACCUAUGGACUUGGAGGUCCACCUGCCCAGUAUAGGGAUUGAUACAUCCAUCUUAAUUUACUUUUUGAAUUAGAGACUUGGAGAUCUAUGUUAUUAACUUAAGAAUUAGAGGUCCAUUUUACUAUUACUUGGUUCCAGGGCUAAAAAAUGGUAUAAGUUCCAAUAUCCAUUUUCCUAAGCUUUUGGUUACUCCGUAUUUGGUGUUCACUAAUCCUGAGGCUCCCAAGCUGUUCCCAGCAUCCAAAUUUGGUAUGCACUAGGGUCUUUGCCCUUUUGGGGGAAAAGAUACUUUGAGAGUGUGAGUUUGAGCUCAUCAUGAUUCUAUCUGAAAGAAGAUUUCACACUGCGAAGUAUUGCGAAGCUGAAAAAUAUGCGUGAUUUAGGUUCCAUGGUUCAAAAUUCUGUGGGAGUUUAGGUUCCAGGCUUUAAGUAUCUAGAAUCUGAUAUGGGCCACUAAUGUCACUUGACUUUUGGAUCCAUGUUUGAUAUCGAACCAUGUAUCCACACUUUAGACAAUCCAAAUUUGGUGUUGGCCUGAGGCAUUCAUUUUCUUUCUGGUUCCAAGGCCAAAAAUUUAGUGCUGGAGAAGGUUCUAGAUCUUAUAUGAUCAAAAUUUGGCAUGAAAUCAUUAGUUCACUUUAUUUGACAGAAUUAAUUUGAUCCAUCCAUGCCCUUGGCAUGAUUAGGCUUUUGCCCAGUUUGAGUCAAUAAGUCUUUGAUUUAUCCUUUAAACGUGUUGGAGGCAUUUAACCUUAGGAUUUGUGUGGCGAGCUUUGUGAGACUAAUAUAUGUGAUGCUCAUUUUGGUUUGGUUGAGGUUGAUGUUACCUUUAACAUAAUUUGGAAAUUGCCAGCGUUUCCCCAUCAAAAUUUGAUGGGUCUUACCCCAACAAAGCAGCACUUAGUUCUUGAGUCACUUGAUUGUUCAUAUCUUGAGUUUGAUAUCAGUUAAUGGUCAUGGAGAUAUAGACUGCAUAGCACAUAGAACAUGAAGCUUUUGAGUCAUUGUUGAAGUUUAAAAGGCUUGUUUCCAUUUUAGUGUCUUAAUAGGCCUAGGUCUGUUUUUGCUUCUAUGAUUGGUUGAGUCAUUGUUUCCAUUUGAUGAUUAAUGCGUCUGAGUCUAGUCAAUUCUUCAUGGGUUGAGCUUAUUUUGUUUUACUGGGCAUAAACCAGAUAACCCAAUUUUAAUGAUAAUUAUCACCAUUUAUCUAUGGGGAAUUCUAAUGAUUUUUGUUAGCAAUAAUUUGAGGCUUUAAGAUCAGUUAGCAGUUUCAGCAUGAAGAAUUCAUAUUAAGACAGCCAUUGAUUAUGCAGGCAGUAGACUGUUGUGAUCUUUAAGCUAAAAUUGAUGUGAUGCCAAUCUGUUAAGGGUGCUCUGUGUGUGCGUGUGUUGGGUUGGGGGGGAGGGGGGUACGCAUCUCUGAGUGCAUGCAUGGACAAGUGAGAGUAUACACACAAGCAUUCAUGUGUCUGUAGACUCUGUACCUUUUAGAUAUGGGGUUCUUGUAUCUAAAUGAGACAUUGCUGGCUGCCUGUCCUGUCAUCAUAUGGAUAAAAUCGGUAUUUUUUAAUUGAUUUCUUUUAAUCUAAAUUUUAGUUGUUUUUGAACAGGACGUGAUGGAUUCCUCUAAUUCUUCAGCUGAUAAUGGUUGCACCAGCGACACCUAUGAUACAUAUCUCCUAACACGGGGAAGGGCAUGGGCAAUAUCUCUCAUUAUGAGGGACAGACUGAGUGAAGAAUUCUUAAGGGCAUCUUUUCUAGGAAUAGACUCUGGAAACCUUCUAUAUAGGUUGGUCAUCACCAUCUCUUUAUCAUAUGUGGCUAUAAAAUUGUUCUUUUUUCUUUUUUAACAAAUUCUUCUUCUACAUGCCUGCUUUUUUGAAAAGUGAUCCUUGUGAGUACAAUUUCUGCUGUAGAAUGCUGAUUGCUGUCUGCUCACUCUUGCAUCAUCAUGUUUGUGAGUUAACGUGUUCAGUGUGCGGCCCAUUGAUUUCAAACUUUCAGUCAGAAACAAUUCAUUAUAUUUUAUAGUCCAUGAUGGUUGCCCUCUAGUUUUUUAUGAGGAAAAACAGUUGUUCAAUGUCAUGGAAACUUUCAAUUAAAACUAGUUUUAUAUUGGAGUCAAAGAGUCUGUAGUUACAUGGACCAUCUUGAGAGGUUGGCACAUUGCUAUUAUUAUAGGCGAAGCUUGAACAUCAAGACAUACAGAAAGUUGACAUGUAGAACUGAGAGACAUUGACAAGGAUAGAUCUUAUGUAUCAACUCAAAGGGAGAAAUCAUUGCAUUAUGUGAUAUAGAUGUUGAAUUAAUGGUUGUUACUAUAUAUACUUGUAAGCGCAAGCUCAGAUUGUACAUUUGUGAGUAGACAAUCUCAACAAGCAUUUUAUCUGAAGGCUAAAUGAAAGGAAGCUCCAUCAGAAUGACAUUAAAGCCAACAAACUUCAAUGAAUGUGCUUCAAGAUUAGUGGUGGUUAUUAUGAGGAAUAUUAGUGUUUCUGCAGUGUAUAUUUCAAAAGGAGACUACUUGCUUGCCUUAAACAUGUAACGUUGGGCAAUAUGGAUUGUUUGGAAGACUGAUAACAAAAACCAACAUAUCAAGUGCUAACAACCAGGACAUAUAUACACCUUUUCUCUUUGUUAUGUGAAGGUUCUGAAGCAAAAGUAUAUUAAUUAGAAAUGCUUAGGUCUAGCCCAUGUUGCAUCAUCUAGUAGGGCAUAGCUACAGUUGCAUAAGCUGGAUCUAUGAUUUGAUGUAUCAGCAGAGUGUGAUCAUGGCUCUCUGAGUUGUACUAUCGUGGUGAUGUUUAAAAAAACUGAAAAGGACACAGAAGUAUAAGGUUUGGAGGGAUUUGUAUGCAGGUCAAUUUAUUGAUGGAGAUGACCCUUUCAUUUAACAAUAAAGUGCUGACUUAAGGUUGUGAUAUUGUAUUGAUAUAAUUCCAUAUCACAGAGGUACUUCAUACCUCUUAUCCUCAAUUUUCUUCUCUUAUUUUUCUUAUUUAUAUAGCAUGACAUGUUAUUAGAGUAAUGGUUCUACUUGCCUUGGUUAUUUGCUAAUGUACCUGCUCUCAUUCAGUUUAAUAGAUAUAGAUAUUCUAUAACCUAAGUUCCCAUAAAUUGCCCAUGCAUUUUUCUCUUGUUUUACGUGCAAGUAUAUAUACUUUUUUGCACCUUCACUGGAUAUGUAUCGAUUUGAGUUUCUUCUUUUGUUCACAUGUAUCUCACAGGAGCACCAAUGUAGGCUGCCUUUUAUUCAUUAAGUCUAUUUCCUCCUCCACUUGGUCUUCCUAGUUAUUGAACAAAUUAUUAUUUAUUUAGAACAUAAAUUUUUCCUUAAAACCAGAGAAUUUUUUUGUUAUCCUUAAAAUAUAUAUCAUUAUAACAAGACCUAUGCUAACAAGUCACUUCCUUUUUUGUGACUUGUGUUUUUUCCCUGAAGGAGGGCUACCUAUGUAAAACUAAUAAAGCAUAGACAAAAAAAAAAAAGAGAGUAUAAAGCAGAUUAUCUUUAAGGAACCCUUAAAAUGAUAUUCCAAUGCAUAAUUUAAGUGGUAUUAAACUCAUAUGUUGCAUGUGUAGUUCUACCAAAAGAUCAAGAAAUAAACAGAGAAAUGAAAAUAAAAAGGAAAAAAAAUUAUGAAAUGGGAAACCAAAUUACCAGAGUAAUGGACUACAACAAAUAUUAGGCAUCUCUUAAAAAAUGAAAUUAAAAAGCUUAAAUGAAUAGAUAAAUAAAGCUAGCAGAAACAUAAAAAGCAUCGUUUUAGAAUAAAAUAAAUAAUUAAUGAAUAGAAAGGCAUGCAUAGUGAGCAAAGUGAGAGAAAGAUGAAUAAAAUAAUCAGAAAUGUAUUUCUAAUUAAAAGAUGAACUUGUUUGCCAAAGUGAACCACAAAGUUUGCAGUCUCGACUGAGUGUUUGUACUUUAUUAUGCUUAGCCUUGUCAGAUACCUGCUUAUGAUUGCCACCUAUUUUUGUAUUCAAAAAUCAAAACUUUAUCAACUAUUGAUUAUUUAUGGUUGCAAUUCUUUGACUCUGUCUCCAGAAUUACCCGUUUAUAAAGAUUUCUUGUUAUGCUAGAAGUUAAAGCUCUUUCAACGACCAGUAAAGUAUGGCAAAAAUUUGAUAAAAUGUAUUUUUUCAUUAUAAAUACAAGACUCAUAAGUUUGCAUCAGUUACUUGCUACCAUAUGUUCAGUCAUACCUCAUAUAGAUUUCUUGCUACAAAGUUCCCUGAAAACUCUUAAAAAUAGAUAAUAGCUUUCAUGAUUUUGUUGUUUUCCAUGUGAAAUCUUAAGUCACCUUUGUGUUUAUAGUUGUUUCUUUGAAACUGGAGGUCAGUGUUAGAUUAUGUCAUAUUUACUGUUGUUAAAAGCUCAAGAAAUGGUGGAGAAUUAUCUCGAACAUUUAUGGGCUGGUUACUAAAAUGAGAUUAGGCUUCCAUUUCUAAUUAACUAUUGCUGUUAGCUUCUCUAACAUUUGCCUCUUUUCAUCAAAAUCAACAUCAUCAAGGUGAUGUUGAUUUUCCCUUGUAAUCAGUGUUGUAGUCAUCUAGAAACCUCAUCAAUUAGCUUUAUUUGUUAAAGCUUUAACCAAUGACUCUUUAGCUUGUUGCUUUUUAGGCAGUGGAUGGAAGAGUAUGUGCCCCACACCUCUGAGCACAAGGAGUAAGAACACUCUAUGAUAAAAUCUUCAUUGCAAGCCCAUUCAAUUUAAAGCACAUGAAUCAUUCAUUUUUCACCAACCUAUUAGACUCGUUAUGUCUUCCUUUAGUGGCUUCAAGUCAAGCAAUUUUUAUUAGUCAACGUGAAAACAUCAACAUAACUAUUCUGAACUUCAAGUUCACUUUUUGGAUUGCAUCUUUUGUUUUGGUGUAGGAGGCACCACCCUUAUCUCCGAUUCUUUGAGAUUAGAUUGUGUGGCAUUAGAAUGCUAUCAAGGCAGUGAAGAGAAACAUUCAAAUUAUCUCACUGAUUAACAAGCAUAUCAUGAACUAUUUGAUAAACAAUUGGAUCAUCAAAAGGUGCUUUUAUAAUGGAUAUCAGCAUCAUAUCCAUAUAUCCAUAGGGUUCCUUAAUGACACCUUCAUUGGAACCAGCAAACUUGAACAUCGCAUGGAUGGACUUUGAAAAGUUUAGAACAAACGUCGCCUUGACCACAAGAUACUUCACUGUUAGAGACCUUGUCAUGCUCCUCUUCAUAUCCAAAUUUUCUUGUUACUGCCUAUUGGUUCCUUGUAACCAUAAACAUUAAAACCCUUCUAAUAAUUAGCAAACAAUGCAUUAUUGGAUAAGGAUGGCCUGACCUUGUUUUCUUCAUGUUCAGCAGAGGAAAAUCAGUAUAAUCCUCAAAAUGUACUAACAUGAGAUGUGAUUCUUGAAGUAGUGAUAAAUUUUAUUUCUCUUACAUAGUGCCUCAAUAAAAAGGAGAGCAAGAUGCUUGGAAAUUGAUGUAUCUUUCAUAAUGGACUCAAGGUAGAAGUCAAACAUCAUAAUGAGAAUAUGUGAGGGUAUCUUUUUUCAGUUGUGUAACUGACAGCUUUGCAACUAGAUGUAUUGUUAGUUAGGACUUAGACAAUUUGAUUAACCCUGAAUGAAUCAAUUACUGUUAGAAUGAGCCUUCCAUUAUUUUCACUUAUCUUAUCAAAAAGAGAUAAAAUUAAGAGUUGCCAUCAAAGAUUACUAAAAUAUUUGCUAGGGUCUGGAUUUGUUAAUAAUUGCUCACCAAUCCUAGACAAUUGAGACCUGAUAGCAAGGUUGGCCCUGUUGAUACCAGAUCUUGUACCAAUAACAUGCUGGUAUAGUGUUGAUAUGCUCAAUAUUAGGGUUGAUUCAGCAAACUGAGACUGAUUAUACGCUCCAUACCAUGUCUUGGUUUGGUCGGGACGACACAGUUUGUCUGAUAUGGUGCAAUAUAUACAGGUAUGGUGAAUCUUGCCCCAUAGUUUGACCAUUAUUCUUAAAUAAGAACAAGCUCAUUUUCAACUAAUGUACUGCAACACCAUCAAGGAAAUGUCCACAAUGUCACCAAACAAUAAGGGCAAUGGAGGAAUUUGUUUGCAACAUUUGUUGCCAUAGGAAUUUUUCAAUAGUUCAUAUUCUCUUGUAAGAACCCUUUAUUGGGCAUCUUGAAGGGCAGGCAGCACAAGGACUAUCAAAUAGUAGUAGGCCAGUCCCUUGCUGAAGAAUCUUCUUCACAAGCAUUUGGCUUCCUAAAUGGCUGGCACAGAUGGUACCAUGUGCUUGAUCGACGACUUGCUUUGCUUCAGUAUUGUCGCGGCAGCUUAAAAAAUACAAUAUGGAGAGAGAACUUUUAGGAGAAAAAAGAUAGAUAGAGAUUAAAAAAAAUAUUUGAACAAAAACCAAAAUGGAGCAAGUUAGCACCUGCACCAUUAAUUUUUCUUCAGCAUUUUUCUCUUCCAACCUUACUCUGAACUGGUUUCUGAUCCAGAGGGCAAGGGGAAUGUUUAACAAAAAGCAGUAAGAUGUUAAUUCCAAAAUUGCAUAGUUCUUGAUAUUAAUGGCAUGCUAAAUUCAUGUUGUGAAAUCACCUUUGCUGAAAUAGAUUGUCAUGGUAGGUUACAACCCUCCUAAUUAUGGGCCACUAAAAAAAUACCCUUGUGAUAGACAUGGUAGACCUAAGUAAGAAAAUGAGUUUGCCCUUAUUAAAAGCAAGUGGUUUAACUUUUGGGAUCUUGAUUAUCCAUAUUUUCAGACAAAUAUCAAAAACCAGAACCAAAAAGAUAUACUGGUAGCAUCUGAUGGUAAAGCUCUAUUAAUAGAUGGACCAACAAGAAUGUUAUAGAGCUUCUUCUAAAAGAAACUGAUUUGUUAGGCCCUACAAGGUUGUUCAAGUAAUAUAACAAUGUAUUUGAUUGCAAAGCUGCUGAUUACAUAAUUGAAAGAAAAUGCCUCACAUGUUUUGGUUAGAAUGCAUGACACAUGUGCAAAGUCUAUAGAUGGAAGGAAACAACUUCCGAGCAUCUUGCUUUCCUUUUACAAUGCAUAUGUACAAUAGGAAAGAAAACUGUCAAGCACAUGAGCAUAGCUCAUGCUAGUGCAUGAUUAGAAUUUGUUCUAAUCUUAAUGUGAAAGUAGAGAAAAUUGUACUUGUUCGUCAUCAUUUGGUCAUACAUCAUUUCUAACUGAUGAAGGGGUUUCGGUAUCAUUGGAUAUAAACAAUACGUGAUCAAAAAUGAGGAAUAGAUAUAAUUAGGAGCAGGAUGAAGAGUCAUGAACUAUCAUAUGCUAUGAAUUUUGGGCUUAAACAAGGUUUACUCUAAACAUCACAAAGUUCAUCCAUGUGAAGAACAAGUUGCUAAUUCUGAUAACUUAUUACUCAGAAAGCUAUGGAAGAAUGAGUAUGAUGCUAGAUUUCAUUAAGAGAGAUCUUCUUGAUGAUCUAAUUACUUUCAAUUAGUACAUAACAUUGUCAUUAUUCAAUGGUAUAUGUUCAGUGUUCCUUUCCCUUGCAUUGCUUACACUCUAAUGCCUGAGUAUUACACAAAGUUAGUCUGGUGCUUUCAACAUCAAAAGGCAACAUGUUGCAAUCUAAUCACUUAUCUUGAAUUAUAAAAGUUCCACCUUGAUGCUUUGCUAAGAAUGUCUCAUUAUCCAAAGAUAUUUAACCAACUUCUUCAGCAAUGGAGUAUUUACUCAGCUAGAGUCAUCAAAGUCUGACAUAUUGUGAGUUCUAGAGUUUGGGAUAUGUAUGGUGCAAGUGCUUCAAUAUUGCAUGGGCCUGCAAUAAGAGUUGUAUCAAAGAAUGUCAACACUUGUUGUGCUUAAAGAUUUUGGAGUACAUCUUGUAUCCAUAAUCUAAUGACCAAUUAAACUUAACAUUAGUCAAGUCAAAUCUUUAGUUUCCAUACAUUAUAACUCAAGGUUAUUGACGAGGUUUCAAGAUGGAAAGGGCAUUGAUUUUAAGAGAUAUUGCACUUGCUUGGGUUAUGUUGAUGUUGACAGCACUAAGUUAUUAAGGGUGAUGGCUGCAACAUGUUGAUUUAGAGGCAGAAGACUUAUUUCAUGUUGGUUUUUUUCCCAGAGCGCUUAAAAAUAAUUUGGCAACAUUUCAUGAACUUCGAGCAGUAGUAGAAGCAAGGUCUGCAAAAUUGGUACUGGUCCCUAUAUGGUACCCAAACACAUUGUGAAUCAAGUAUUGAUACGGUGCAUACACUGGUACUGAGAACUGGUAUAGGUGUGUAUGGAGUCUCAAUACUUUGAUAGUACGGUAUGGUAUCCGGUGCUGCAGUAUGGUCUGGGACAGCAAAUUGUCAGUAGAUGACACAAUCUAAUAGUGGCCUUUCAGCAUAUAUGGAGCAAAGUCAAUCAUAAUGCUACCUUAAGAUUUACGUGCAAAAUGAUAAUGAAAGUAGUUAAAGUCAUGACAUGUUCUAUAUCAGUUUUCUGGAGCAAUAUGUAGCAGCAAAUGUUUAUGAUGUAUGAGUUUUGUGGAACACUUUCCAGUAAGUAUUUUUGGCAAUCUUUAUGAGUCCAAGGUUUUAAAAUCAUAAUAGAGAUCAAAGUUCGCUGUCUCGGUACCAGAUCCCAUAUUAAUACCAUCCUAUAGUGUUGGUAUUAUAAUACGGCACGAGACAGCAAGGCAUAUCAAGUGAUGGUAUGGUAUGAGACUGCAGACUGGUUUAGUACUAGUACACUAUGCCCAGUAUGGUUAAACUCGACCCAUACUACUUGCAAUUAUGAAAGUAUGUAAGCGAUAGGUAUAAUAUUGACACAUGGUACCAAUUUGUACCUAAGCAGAAAAGAUAGUCUAAAAGCACUUUCUCAGUAUGCAGUGGUAUGGGGUCAAUGUGGGGCUUCUUUUUUCCUCUUUUUUUUUUCUUUUUUGGCGGGGGAGGGGGGAGUGGGGAUGGCCCUAUGCGAAGACAGCAGCACUGGCUCUAUGAAGUCUAAAUUGAAUCUUUCUGUUGGUUUUCUCGUGAAUAAGAAAUGUUGGGUGUGGUGAAGCAAGCACUUCUAGCUGUUUCGCUUGCUUCUUUCUUAUUGUGGCAGCUAUUAUGGUGUGGCGGAAAUUAACAAAAAGACGCCGUUUGAAUGCAUGCCACUGACUUGAAGUUUGCAAGGAACUAUGAAGGGCCUUUUGUGGAUUAAAGCCAUUCUGUAAUUGAUUUCUCCAAUGACCUAGCCCAGUAAUCAGCCGUGCUAGCAUGCACACUAUUCUUCUUUAGAAUAGUUCGUAGAUACGGUAGUAGAGGUGAAGGAGUGCCAUGUUUUAGCAGCGAAUUAGGAUUUUUUUUCCUUCUUUUUCGUCUGAUAAAUGGAGUAGCAGAAAUUGGACCUAAGGCAAUGACGCUUGUCCACUGACUCUCUAGAAGCGGGUGCUGGGCAUCAAUCCUUGAUCAUAUAUCCAGUUUGUUUUCAUCUUUUUUAAAAGAGUUUUAACUUCUAGUGGAAUGAAAAUUUGUUGUAAGCUAGCAAUUUAAAAUAUAGGAAAAAAGAAGUAGUUUGAUUAAAAAUCCAAAUUUAAUAUGUUCUUAUAUUUUUAUGGAGGGGUUACAUACAGAGGGAUGCAUGCGCUCAACAAUAAUACACCAAAAAAACAAAAAAGAGAAGAAAAGAUAAGAAACAAGGAGGGGGAGGGGGUCAGUUAAAAGAACCGUUCAUUCUGUUCCUGUUUUCAAUUGUCAGUGCCUCAUUGGUAUAUUGCUUCAGAUCGUUGGAAUCAGUACAUCAAUAAAGAAAACUUCAUAAGCUCAUCUUUAAGAAAUGGAACAUUUUUCCUUCUCUCUGUUUCAAAUGAAGUUUUCUUCCUCUUCAACAAGCUUAUGCAGCAGAGAAGGGAAACUAGAAUUUAACAACUCGAACGUUGGUCAAAGAUUUAAAGUAGUGGAGCAUCAAUGAGUUACCUGGAUAUGAAAUUUGAUAGCCAUUUAAUUUGUUGUGUGCCCAUUUGGGUGGGGAGAGGGUCCACUCCUCAUUCUCAAAGCCACUUUUAUGAAGGGAUGGUUUCUUCUUGUUGUAUGUUGGAUCAACAAGAAGAAAGAAAAGGUACUUUGAGCCAAGGGUUUUAUCAAGGUCAAUGGAUUCUAGAUUCAUCUAGUGAUGGUGUUGCACCCAAUACUAUAACAAAAAGUUAUACAAUGGCUCUAGAGAGCUAUUUCAUCCAGUUUUACAGGUUGAAGCCACAUAAGCUAUCAAUGACUUUUAAGAUGUAUACUUGGAGAAAGAUUCUGAUUCAUUAUUAGAAAUCGAGAUAGCAUUAUAUAUCCAGUAAUGAUGGAUCGUUCUUUCAAGCCUAUAAAUAUCCAUUAAAGAAGAUCCUUUCAAGUCUUAUUCUUAUCUUGGGGUGGUGUUACAAGUUAGUGGUCUGUAAAGCAGCAUCAAAGCACUAUCUGAUAGAAAUGCAUGCAUUAGUCCUGAUAAUGCAGUGCCUGUUUAGUCUCAACAAAGAAAGUAGUCUGCAAUGAUACCAAGCCACUUGGCAUGGUUGUGAAGUGUCUGGUUGUCUAAGACUUCUGUAACAUUUGAACCCUAAAAUGAGUUCUGGAGGGUUUAGUGAGGUUUGUUACACUACUUUAAAAUUUUAAUGGUAGAGUUUGUCUUUUAAAUGCAGUUCACCUACAUUUUCCGACAGCCUUUCUUUCAUCCAAUGUAAGUCCUUUACAAAGUAAUGAUAAAACUGAUUCUUGAUUUUAGUGGAGGAUGAAGCUUUUCAUUUUAUGGAUAAGGCUUAACGAGCUGCACAAAAUCCACACGCCACCGCCCUGCCCCCCUUCCCCCCUUUAUAUUUCUGGAAAUCUAUGGCAUAUUAUUUGAUAAAAUAGAAUGGGGUGGUUUGCAUUGCACUAGCUCCUGGAAACCUGGAUGGUGGAUGUUUUUGAGGUACCUCUGCAAGAUUACAUGACUAAUGACUAAAUGAAGUUCUGAGUCUGCACAAAGCUGAUGCUUCUCUAAGCAAGAGGGUCAAGGCUGAAAAUUCCUGCUGGUACACUCUGCAGUAUGAGAAGAACCUUGUUUUUCUUAGAAAUUGGAAGCAAAAGAAUUCUCAAAAGUUAACAUACAGGAUGCUUGAACUUUGUCUUACAAUCCCUUCACAAUAGAUAAUGGAAGAAGAUGCUAUCCUUACCAAGUUUACUUUAUCAAGUGAGCAGAUAAUAUCUUAUUUGCUUCAAGUUAUAUUACUUCCUCUCUCGCACCUAAAAAAAUGACAAUUUGAUUUAGCGUAUAUUUCUUGAGCUAUUUUCCCCACAUUCUUGAUGCACCUGUUUAUUGAUACGAUGACAUGCAUUGUAUUGGUUGAUGUGUUG
This 11543-nucleotide long non-coding RNA is filed under the name Elaeis guineensis (African oil palm). Its description in RNAcentral is "long non-coding RNA (EGUI_LNC024489)". The record is from RNAcentral. Lineage: Eukaryota; Viridiplantae; Streptophyta; Magnoliopsida; Arecales; Arecaceae.